This 848-nucleotide long non-coding RNA is filed under the name Eutrema salsugineum. RNAcentral's name for it is "long non-coding RNA (ESAL_LNC001193)". The record is from RNAcentral. Lineage: Eukaryota; Viridiplantae; Streptophyta; Magnoliopsida; Brassicales; Brassicaceae.
UCCAUAUUCGAAUCGUUAUUACUAUCUUGCGACAAUUGAUUUUACAUACAUAAGUACUUACAGAAAUUUUGUGUUUACAGAUAAAUCAUAAUUACAUUGACUAUGUAAUCACAUAUUCUGAUUUUUAAACAGUUCCAAACCAAAACUGAACCUUAACAAAUUCAUUGAAACUAGUAUUGGUUUCAGUUUAGUUCAAAUAUCUCCUAAACCGGAUAAAAAGUUAAGAAUAGAAAACCAGAUCGAACACCCAAAAUUUUGUUGAGAUAACAUCUUACGGUAUUAUAUGAAUUAACUCUAAGAAGGUGGGGAAGAUAAACAAUUCCUCAUCAUAUGAUAUCUAUUGACGUCAUACAACUAUGCAAGUUGAUAGGAUUUGGCCCUUCAAGGUUCAAGCUUUGAGUUGUCUUCGACGUGAAAACACAAGUCACAAAAUAAAACAGAGCAAGAAUGAUAUGAAGAAGAUAUAAGAACAAAGCAGAAAAGAAAAGGGAGCACACACAAAGAGAUCCAUAAACUCGAGUUCACAUCCAUAAACUCGGGUCGCUACAUCUCGCCAGGAUUUCUUCCCGGAAUCUACUAGAUCAUAGAGUGUACAAAGAGAUCUAUAAACCCUAAAAGCCCUCUUACAAAGGUUUUUCUCUCCCUCUUUCACUCCUUUCCCCAAGAACACUCACCAAGUUUACACUUGAGUUCUCUCUCCUGAUCUCUACAUUGUGUUGUGCUCUACCUCUCUCAUGCCCAAAGCACACUUUAUAUAUUUGACACACCUAGGUCUUAAGACAACUCUCAAAUAACACCAAAGGAGCCUCUUUUAGCCACGCUUAGGUAAACAAGCAUUUAACACAAAU